CACGUAGGGUGCGAGCGUUGUCCGGAAUUAUUGGGCGUAAAGAGCUCGUAGGCGGUGUGUCGCGUCUGCUGUGAAAACCUAAGGCUCAACCUUGGGCUUGCAGUGGGUACGGGCAGACUAGAGUGCGGUAGGGGUGACUGGAAUUCCUGGUGUAGCGGUGGAAUGCGCAGAUAUCAGGAGGAACACCGAUGGCGAAGGCAGGUCACUGGGCCGCAACUGACGCUGAGGAGCGAAAGCAUGGGGAGCGAACAGG
Molecule: ribosomal RNA, 253 nt
Filed under: uncultured bacterium
Lineage: Bacteria
Description: partial 16S ribosomal RNA
Rfam family: Bacterial small subunit ribosomal RNA
Source: RNAcentral